Non-coding RNA from Kogia breviceps (pygmy sperm whale), 651 nucleotides. NCBI's taxonomy places the organism in Eukaryota, Metazoa, Chordata, Mammalia, Artiodactyla, Physeteridae. The record is from RefSeq and is a predicted model, not a curated record.
GCUCCCGAGGGCACGGACGCACGGAGGGCUGACUUUCAGCCCCGUCCUGCAGUGAAGGAGUGACGGUUGGGACAGGCGGCACUCAGGCCCCUCGGAGCUCACAGAGCUCAUGCUACGCGGCUCAGGACCAGCUCACACGGCUGUUUUCCCAUCCUAGACAACGACGCCCCUGAGGACGGGAACCCAUGCCACACACCAUUAGUACCCCUCGGACCUGAAUGCUGGGCACGUGGUGGGGGGUCAACGGGGGGACCCGGAACCCAGCGGCGAGGGGAGCGCGGACGCAGGUACCAGGCUACUGGGAGCAUCCCACCAUCCCUGGGCCACGCCGAGCCGAUGACCCACCAACUCGCCACUCCGUCCCCAGCAGACGGCCUUGCUGCCCUCUGCUCACCCCACCCAGGGCCAGAGGGAUGUGAAAAUGCCCACUGGUGCCGAACGCCAGGAAGGAAAGGAAAGAACGCUAACAAUCCAGUGCUCCCCUCACGGAAAGGCAAUAAGCACGCAGUCACAAUCCUGCCUGAGAAUGGCACUGCCCUCUGAGAAGUGGUUAUUCUCAAUGUUUCACGCCAAUCUCCUCAGCAAGCUGGAGCUUAUCCUCUGCUCCCUGUGUUGGCCUCCCCUGCCCUUCCUUCUACCCAACUUGUUCUU